This 1248-nucleotide ribosomal RNA is filed under the name Triticum aestivum (bread wheat). RNAcentral's name for it is "partial small subunit ribosomal RNA". The record is from RNAcentral. Lineage: Eukaryota; Viridiplantae; Streptophyta; Magnoliopsida; Poales; Poaceae.
AUGGAGGUGUGGCCGCCGCUGCUGGUUGUUAUCUUCACGCUCUAUGUUGUCUCUCCCUGCUGCGGCCUUGAGGCCGUGGCUAAGAACGUGACUGUGGCACAACUACUGCCGAUUUCGUCGUACCAUGGGGGUUUGGCUACCUACAAUGCCAAGAACUUCGGCGCUGAAGGCAACGGCACCAACGACGAUACCAAAGCGUUGAUGGCAGCAUGGAAGGCAGCGUGUGGUGCAUAUGGCACGGUGACGCUGUUGAUCCCGCCGGGGACGUACUACAUCGGGCCGACGAAGUUCCAUGGUCCCUGCAAAGCCUCCGCCAUCACCUUCUUGCUCCAGGGGACGCUCAAGGCGGCGACGGAUCUGAGGCGUUUUGGCAACGACUGGAUCGAGUUCGGGUGGGUGAAAGACCUCACUGUGACCGGACAGAACAAUGCCAUCAUCAAUGGCCAGGGCGCCGCCUCCUGGCCCUUCAACAAGUGUCCCUUCCAAAAGGACUGCAAAGUCCUCCCCACUAGCGUGCUGUUCGUGAACAACCAGAACACGGUGGUGCGCGACAUCACGUCGGUAAACAGCAAGUUCUUCCACAUCGCACUGCUGCAGAGUAAGAAUAUGAAGUUGAUCAACAUCCAGAUCAACGCGCCGGAGAACAGCCCAAACACAGAUGGCAUCCACAUCGAGCGAAGCACGGGUGUGGUGAUUUCCGACACCCAUAUCAGCACAGGAGAUGACUGCAUCUCCAUCGGCCAGGGGAGCGACAACAUCGACAUCGCCCGCGUCCACUGCGGCCCGGGGCACGGCAUGAGCGUCGGCAGCCUUGGACGGUACGUGGACGAGGGCGACGUCACCCGCGUCCACGUCAGGAACAUGACCUUCGUGGGCACCAUGAACGGCGUCCGGAUCAAGACGUGGGAGAACUCCCCUACCAAGAGCCUCGCCGCGCACAUGCUGUUCGAGAACAUGAUCAUGAAGGACGUGCAGAACCCCAUCAUCAUCGACCAGAAGUACUGCCCUUACUACGACUGCGAGCACAAGCACGUCUCCGGGGUCACCCUCAAGGACAUCACGUUCAAGAACAUCAAGGGGACGUCGUCGACGCCGGUGGCCGUGCGGCUCCGGUGCGGCGUGCCGUGCCAGGGCGUCGUGCUGCAGGACGUGGACCUGAAGUACAUGGGAGAGGGAGGGUCCUCGUCGAAGUGCGAGAACGCCAUGGCCACGUACGUUGGCUACCAGCACCCAGAGCCAUGCGCCUAG